Molecule: ribosomal RNA, 268 nt
Filed under: uncultured prokaryote
Description: partial 16S ribosomal RNA
Rfam family: Bacterial small subunit ribosomal RNA
Source: RNAcentral
UACGUAGGGGCGAGCGUUGUCCGGAAUGAUUGGGCGUAAAGGGCGCGCAGGCGGCCUGUCAAGUCAGUAGUGGAAGUCCAUUUUUCAAGGAUGGAAGUGCUAUAGAAACUGAUGGGCUUGAGUGCAGGAGAGGUUAUCGGAAUUCCCUGUGUAGCGGUGAAAUGCGUAAAGAUCGGGAGGAACACCAGUGGCGAAGGCGGGUAACUGGACUGCAACUGACGCUGAGGCGCGAAAGUGUGGGGAGCAAACAGGAUUAGAUACCCUGGUA